CCCUUCGGCGGGGGACAACAGUCCGAAAGGAUUGCUAAUACCGCGUACGUCGGCGAGGUCUUCGGAUCUUGCCGGGAAAGAUGGCCUCUUCAUGAAAGCUAUCACCGAAGGAUGAGUCCGCGUCCCAUCAGCUAGUUGGCGGUGUAAUAGACCACCAAGGCUAAGACGGGUAGCUGGUCUGAGAGGAUGAUCAGCCACACUGGAACUGAGACACGGUCCAG
RNAcentral lists this ribosomal RNA (221 nucleotides) under uncultured bacterium. Its description in RNAcentral is "partial 16S ribosomal RNA". It matches the Rfam family "Bacterial small subunit ribosomal RNA", at positions 129 to 334 of the family's 1533-position model. The record is from RNAcentral.